This 377-nucleotide ribosomal RNA is filed under the name uncultured bacterium. RNAcentral's name for it is "partial 16S ribosomal RNA". It matches the Rfam family "Bacterial small subunit ribosomal RNA", at positions 338 to 707 of the family's 1533-position model. The record is from RNAcentral.
CCUACGGGUGGCAGCAGUGGGGAAUAUUGCGCAAUGGGCGAAAGCCUGACGCAGCGACGCCGCGUGAGGGAUGAAGGUCUUCGGAUCGUAACACUCUGUUAGCAGGGAAGAAAGGUCACUGUGCUAAUCAGUAGUGAAUUGACGGUACCUGCAAGGGACGCAUCGGCUAAUUCCGUGCCAGCCGCUGCGGCAAUACGGAGGGGGCGAGCGUUGAUCGGAAUUAUUGGGCGUAAAGCGCGCGUAGGCGGUAUGUCAAGUCAAGGGUGAAAGCCCUUCGCUCAACGUGGGAACUGCCUUUGAAACUGGCAGACUGGAGUUUGUGAGAGGAUAGUGGAAUUCCAGGUGUAGGAGUGAAAUCCGUAGAUAUCUGGAGGAAC